Long non-coding RNA from Labeo rohita (rohu), 1544 nucleotides. RefSeq lists it as uncharacterized. The transcript is spliced from 6 exons. The record is from RefSeq and is a predicted model, not a curated record. Lineage: Eukaryota; Metazoa; Chordata; Actinopteri; Cypriniformes; Cyprinidae.
CGCAGAAGCACAACGGCUGAGGAUUCAACGUGUUUGCAGAGGAUCUAUUUCGGUAAAAUCAAGAAUACCAGUUGAUGACUGCUGUCCAGUGGAAAUAUCGAUCAUCUUGCUUGAUAAAACCUCAAUAUAUCAUCAGGAGCAACCGGUAUUAAUUUUGUGCUCCUUGAUAUGUUUUUUCCCUCCAAAAAUGGACAGUCUCUGACUUAAAUUGUAUCAAUCACCAAAGGCCACAUUUUCAGCUAAAAAUCUUCUUUGCUGUUCUGCUGAAGAAAAAUACUCAUGAACAUCUUGGGUGGCGUAAGGAUCUUUGCAGGAUUCAGUCGCAUAUCUCGGAUCUGAGUUCUGCGCAGCACUGGACACAGACUCUGCACUUUUGACAUUUUCUAGAAAAAAGGAUUUUAAAUUUCACAUCAAGUUAAUUAAAAGUCAUCUGAUGUUUCCACUGCAGUACUUCAGGGCCUUUCAGUCAUCCUGGAGAAUGACCCAGAGGAAUUUUACAGGAUGUGUUUCGUAAGAUGUGGAUGCAGACUUCAGUCAAGCAGUUGUAGACCUGCUCACAGUUCUACCAGAGGACAUGCCCUCAUUGUGGAUGCAAUAAAGGCAAUCAUGGAGGGAAGAAUUGUCAUGGAUGGGUUUGAAAGGCCUGUAUUUUAUUUUUGCUGUUCUGUUUGCAUGCCAUUCUGAAAAUGCUCUAUUGUUUAACAGUGUUCCAGUGGGUCCAGAUAAUGUUAUGACAACAAAGUGUUGUUUAGUCAAGAAGUCUGUAAAGAGUAUUAUAAGAACACAGAUGUUUUAAAAGCUAAUUUUUAUUAUUGUGAUAUUCUUAAAGUUUUUUACAAAAAUAAACUGUUGAGAAUUUCAAACUUGUGUUAAGUUCAUUUCAUGCUGGUUGAACGAAUAAAAAUACGUUCAGUUUACUUAAAGAAAAUGUGGAAACCGAUUGCACAAAAUGUUUUAAGUUCCCAUAGCUUAAAAUGGCAGAUUAAAUCCAUGUUGAGAAUAACAGCAUUUAAGAUGUUUGCACAACACAAAAUAACACUAUUAGUUAAUAGAAUUAAUAAAGUAAUCUUACUAUUAAAUCUUAAGUAAGAUUAGUAAAUGUCCUGGAGUAUGUUAACUAGAAAUGACAUUAAUCUAACUUGAUAUUUAUUAGAUAAUUUACUCUGUAAGAGUUUGCUUUCUUUACUUUAAACUGAUUAUUAAAUUAACUUUAGUUUUACCUUUAAGUUUGCUUUAACAAAAUAAGGCAAUCUGUUUCCAAACUUUUUUUAAGUAAGCUGAACUUAUUAGGAUUUACAGUGUACGGGACAGGAAGUUCAGCUACUAGUUUGUGAUGUCACAAGUACAGCCAAGUAAACACUAUUGCAUGGCCAAAAAUUGAAUUUCACUCACACUGUUUUAAUGACCCUGACAACGAGUGCAUUCAGCAUUGGGGAAAAAAAUUGCAUAUUUUUACUCAAAAAUAAUAUAUUUAUGGUGUGUUUCUUGUAUAUUUUGAAGACACCCUUAAUUAAUUUGUAAUAUACUUGUAAUACAAACAAAGU